ACUACUCUAGGCUACUGUUUUAUUCAUAAUUUAUUUCAGAAGCCCAAAUUAUCUCCUACAAUAUCACCUCUGGUUCCAAAAUUUCCUUUAAUUCUGUUUCCGGAUUUCAAACGCAUAGAUUUCUUCUACAAUUUUUUUUAACGUAAAAUGGUGCUUGGAGGUUCGAAAGGACAGGUAAAUUGAGGUUUCUUUAAUGGUACCGCCAGAGUCAAUUUACAUUGGAUAGGAAAUCACUUGAUGCAAAUAAGAAGUAAAUCGGAUUGCACGACGCUAAGAUGGUAAGAUACUGAAGACGAGGCAAGACAGAGAUUCGGAUUAUGAAAGGUAAGAUACUAAAGACGAUGUAAGCCAGAGAUUCAGAUUUAUGAAAUGCUUUCUAUGCCAUCAAUGUCAUUCCCUAUAUAUCAUAAGUUCACAUCUUCUGAUCCCCCUGUCCAUUGACUUAUAAUCUUUGCUUUGGUCUCCCCGUAAUUUCUUAUUCUUCUUUUCUUGGAGACUAUUUCAAUGUCAUGGGGAUAUUUCAUAUUUGACCCGGCUGGGCUAUUAUCCUUAGCUCUAGGUGAGCAUGCUACAUGUAGAAAAGUUCCCCAGUUAAUUUGGAGUUCGGAGAGACAUGGACUUUAAUAAUUAUAUACAGAGAGAUUAAUUUCUGUAAAUUUAAGUUGGUUUCCUUAUUGGCUUGUGUUUACGGUCCAUUUUGUUAUUUUACUGAAACUAUUUUAAUUAGUUUUAGUUGUGCAACGAUAAGAUUCUUUGUAAUUUAGAUGCGCGUUCUUCAAUUUAGAUUGUAAAUGGUUUUACUUACUAACAAUACAACGAAGUGAGAUGUGCUUCUUAGCUUUCGUUUUUAUAUGGUGUGUGAGUUGAUAAAUUGUGCAAAGAAGCUUACCCAGAAGUAACUAUAAGUAAAUUUUAUUUGCUCAUAUAUAAAAUAUCCUACUAGAUUUUAGUAUUUCAGGCGCUGUUUGUGCACCUUUCGUGCUCAUCGGAUUAUGAUUUAUUUCAUUUCAUAUUUAGAAUUCAUAAUGAAAUCUUUACUAGCCUGUUUGCUCACUCUCCAAAAUGGAGGAAGUACUCAUGUUGACACUACACGACACCAGUAGUGGUAUAGGAUCUGGCUACGAUCCCUCAACUUGAAAGAGGAUGUGGCAUGAAGAUGAAAGCCAUUGUUGAGAAAUGAGUUGGAGAAAGAGACCCAGCAAACGGGAACUGCUGAAGUGAAACACUGUGUGCCUAAUUGAUAAAGUAUAAAAAGAGGCUUCUAAAGAAGCCUGGUCAUCUAGUUUCAAGCACUAAAAGCUAUUUUAAAAAAAAACUAGGCCGUUGAAAAAGUCGUGAAUUUUCAAGCCAUCAAGUCGAACCAGCCCCUCGAUGCUACACAUCAACCCCCAAUGGAUUAAUUCAAUCAGCAAGAGUAACUAGCAAAAAAAUUGUUGUCUAUUUGUUUUGAAGUUUACAAUUAAAAUAUAUCCCUAAAAAUGCAUCUAAAAUAUUAAUAUUCUAAAAGAAAAUAUGUGCUAAUAAGACUUAUCCAUGUCCAAAAGUUCGAUCAAUUUCAGCCGUAUCCAUGUAAUCUAAAUUUUAAAGAGAAAGGGAUCCCUCCUAGAUUUGUACCCAUAGCCAAGUUCGAGAAAAAAAGUUACUAGCAUCAUGAUAGGCUCCAAUGGCACAUGGAUAAUUCCAUUUAGUUAGUUAAAGUAGGGGACAGGUAUGGGGAUUGAGUAGGGUGUUCGUUUGUCAUUAGGCUAAAAUCAAGAGGAAAUUGGUGGGAGAGAGUGAUCCUCUUGAAUGCUCACAUUUAUCUGUAAUUGUUUACAUUUUCAAUUUGUAAUACAUUUUCAGUAUGUAUUCAAUCGAAUACCAAAAAAAAAAAGGAUGAUUUUCUAGAUAUUCUGCUUUCUUCAUCCUUUACAGAAUUAUAAACAAAUAUACGAACACAACUGCUAUACAAACCCAGCAUCAUUUCUCUAAUUGCCUUGUUUGUCAGCAUCAGAUCUUAGGAUCCAAUCAAAUGGUAACAAAGAUUUGUGCUUCUCAAAUGCUCAGCAAUUUAUUGUAAUUCCUUAUAUUCAGCUUGUAAUUUGAGACAGUAAUUCAUAACCCGUGUUUUUUUUGUACCUAUCAAAUUGGUUCAGAGCACACCUGGGAGAAGCAAUGUAGACAACUAUGGAGCAACUCAGAGAUAGAAUCUGAUUGAAAGUACUAAUGAUGGAGAAGAUGAUUCAGAAAUUGCGGAAACGAUGAUAAACUAAGCCGAUUUGAGUUAUUAUGUAGGCAAUACUAUACUUGUGUUCGAUGGA
This is a long non-coding RNA of Olea europaea var. sylvestris, 2300 nucleotides long. RefSeq lists it as uncharacterized. The transcript has 3 exons. The record is from RefSeq and is a predicted model, not a curated record. Lineage: Eukaryota; Viridiplantae; Streptophyta; Magnoliopsida; Lamiales; Oleaceae.